RNAcentral lists this unclassified non-coding RNA (377 nucleotides) under uncultured Oligoflexales bacterium. RNAcentral's name for it is "contains 16S-23S intergenic spacer region". The record is from RNAcentral. Lineage: Bacteria; Pseudomonadati; Bdellovibrionota; Oligoflexia; Oligoflexales.
UCCGGUUUAACACCGGCAGUCUCCAUAGAGUGCCCAACUGAAUGAUGGCAACUAGGGAUAAGGGUUGCGCUCGUUAAGGGACUUAACCCGACAUCUCACGAUACGAGCUGACGACAGCCAUGCAGCACCUGUCUCCUUGCCUCCGAAGAGGAAGCGGUGCUUCUACCGCGGUCAAGGGAUGUCAAAUCUAGGUAAGGUUCUUCGCGUAGCAUCGAAUUAAACCACAUGCUCCACCGCUUGUGCGGGCCCCCGUCAAUUCCUUUGAGUUUUAAUCUUGCGACCGUACUUCCCAGGCGGGGUACUUAACGCGUUAGCUGCAGCACUAAGGGGCGGAAACCCCCUAACACUUAGCACUCAUCGUUUACGGCGUGGACUAC